GUGCUGGCUUCAGCUGCAUGUAGACUAAAACUGGAACAAUAUCGAGAAGAUGAGAAUGGUCCUUGCACAAGGAUGACAUGCAAAUUCACAAAGCAUCCCAUAUUUUU
This is a small nuclear RNA of Catagonus wagneri (Chacoan peccary), 107 nucleotides long. The record is from Ensembl. NCBI's taxonomy places the organism in Eukaryota, Metazoa, Chordata, Mammalia, Artiodactyla, Tayassuidae.